This 253-nucleotide ribosomal RNA is filed under the name uncultured bacterium. RNAcentral describes it as "partial 16S ribosomal RNA". It matches the Rfam family "Bacterial small subunit ribosomal RNA", at positions 524 to 776 of the family's 1533-position model. The record is from RNAcentral.
UACGUAGGGUGCGAGCGUUGUCCGGAAUUACUGGGCGUAAAGAGCUCGUAGGUGGUUUGUCGCGUUGUUCGUGAAAACUCACAACUCAAUUGUGGGCGUGCGGGCGAUACGGGCAGACUGGAGUACUGCAGGGGAGACUGGAAUUCCUGGUGUAGCGGUGGAAUGCGCAGAUAUCAGGAGGAACACCGGUGGCGAAGGCGGGUCUCUGGGCAGUAACUGACGCUGAGGAGCGAAAGCGUGGGGAGCGAACCGG